AGCUCGCUGUCCCUGCUAAUGCUGCUGAAAACCCAUUUCACAGUAGUCAGAGAAGCAUUUCCCUGGGUGUGCUGUGUGCACACAUGCUUAUCUUGGAAUUGAGUUUGAAUUAGCCUGCAUACUUGAAGCAAUUGUGAUAACAUUUUGAUAUUUUCCACUUCCAGUUGCAAGCUGGAAUUUCAUCCCCAGAGAUCCACCCCCUCGAUUCUCAAAGCUCCAGCACCUUUUUACUCAAGCAUCUUCAUAAAGCUAGAAAAUGCACUGACUUCACAAGACUUGGUUGCUGGAAGCCUUCCAUGUGAUCAAACAGUACUUUCAGACAAACUAAUUUUCUAUUAAAUGAAGUUUAAUUUUGAGCAUUGCACUUCAGAGUAUCCAGAUAAAAUCAUGGCCUUGUCAGCUCAGACAGCACAGAUAUGAGGGUAGCAAUGGUACAAAUUAAUCCAGGUGAGUGGGUAAAUGAUCAGGGAGGUCAGUGUGCACUAUCUGGUCUCCCCUCUAAAUCCCCCUUC
This 512-nucleotide long non-coding RNA is filed under the name Zonotrichia albicollis (white-throated sparrow). RNAcentral describes it as "lncRNA (ENSZALG00000009653.1)". Lineage: Eukaryota; Metazoa; Chordata; Aves; Passeriformes; Passerellidae. The record is from RNAcentral.